Molecule: ribosomal RNA, 365 nt
Filed under: uncultured eukaryote
Lineage: Eukaryota
Description: partial 18S ribosomal RNA
Rfam family: Eukaryotic small subunit ribosomal RNA
Source: RNAcentral
CAAUAGCGUAUAUUUAAGUUGUUGCAGUUAAAAAGCUCGUAGUCGGAUUUUGGCUGAGAACGAUCGGACCGCCGUUAGGUGUGCACUGAUUGGUCUCAGCUUCCUGGUGAGGAGGUGUGCUUCACGGCCACUUAGUCACCGUGGUUACUUUGAAAAAAUUAGAGUGUUCAAAGCGGGCUUACGCUUGAAUAUAUUAGCAUGGAAUAACACCAUAGGACUCCUGUCCUAUUUCGUUGGUCACGGGACGGGAGUAAUGAUUAAGAGGAACAGUUGGGGGCAUUCGUAUUUCAUUGUCAGAGGUGAAAUUCUUGGAUUUAUGAAAGACGAACUUCUGCGAAAGCAUUUGCCAAGGAUGUUUUCAUUGA